AACUUUCAUUUAGAGAGAGCAGAUUUGAAACACUGUUUUUGUGGUAUUUGCAAGUGGAGAUUUCAAGCGCUUUGGGGCCAAAGGCAGAAAAGGAAAUAUCUUCGUAUAAAAACUAGACAGAAUCAUUCUCAGUAACUGCUCUGUGAUGUGUGCGUUCAACUCUCAGAGUUUAACUUUUCUUUUCAUUCAGCAGUUUGGAAACACUCUGUUUGUAAAGUCUGCACGUAGAUAUUUUGACCACUUAGAGGCCUUCUUUGGAAACGGUUUUUUCUCAUGUAAGGCUAGACAGAAGAAUUCCCAGUAACUUCCUUGUGUUGUGUGCAUUCAACUCACAGAGUUGAACGUUCCCUUAGACAGAGCAGAUUUGAAACACUCUAUUUGUGCAAUUUGCAAGUGUAGAUUUCAAGCGCUUUAAGGUCAAUGGCAGAAAAGGAAAUAUCUUCGUUUCAAAACUAGACAGAAUCAUUCCCACAAACUGCGUUGUGAUGUGUUUGUUCAACUCACAGAGUUUAACCUUUCUGUUCAUAGAGCAGUUAGGAAACGCUCUGUUUGUAAAGUCUGUAAGUGGAUAUUCUGACAUCUUGUGGCCUUCGUUGGAAACGGGAUUUCUUCAUAUUCUGCUAGACAGAAGAAUUC
Molecule: long non-coding RNA, 636 nt
Filed under: Homo sapiens (human)
Lineage: Eukaryota; Metazoa; Chordata; Mammalia; Primates; Hominidae
Description: HSALNT0295131
Source: RNAcentral